Gadus macrocephalus (Pacific cod) is the source of this 2728-nucleotide long non-coding RNA. RefSeq lists it as uncharacterized. Lineage: Eukaryota; Metazoa; Chordata; Actinopteri; Gadiformes; Gadidae. The record is from RefSeq and is a predicted model, not a curated record. The transcript has 2 exons.
UAACAGUGUCUCUGUAUCCGAGGGUUUUAACAGUGUCUUUGUAUCCGAGGGUUUUAACUGUGUCUCUGUAUCCGAGGGUUUUAACAGUUUCUCUGUAUCCAAGGGUUUUAACAGUGCCUCUGUAGCCGAGGGUUUUAACAAUGUCUCUGUAGCCGAGGGUUUUUAACAGUGUCUCUGUAGCCAAGGGUUCUAACAGUGUCUCCGUAUCCGAGGGUUUUUAACAGUGUCUCUGUAUCCGAGGGUUUGCACUGUGCUCUCUCCACAUGCUCUCCACAGGCUGAUCCGAAGGCUGCAGUGUGACGCCGCAGACGCAGCCGUGUGACGCCGCAGACGCAACUUCCGGGUAGCCGGCUUGGUUUGGUUUGUUUGGUUUGGUUAGCAGGACGCUUAGCGUCGACCUGCUAUCUCGGUUUGUAUCUAUUUUUCGGUAGUUAUAUCUGUGACCUGUUCUGCAUACUCUGUACUGUAUUCGCUGUUUCCUCGCCGGAGCUCCGUCUGCAUCAACCACGGGCUUUUCUGUCCAUUACAGAUACGCUUGGCUUCAAACAGCUCGUCCAGCAACCAACCCACAUCGGUGGAAACACGUUGGAUCUCGUUCUGACCCGCGGUGUUGACAUUUCGCAGCUAGUGGUCUCUUCCUACACCUCAGCUUUAUCAGACCACUUUUUGCUCACUUUCCAGGUGGUGGUAUCCUGCCCCUGCGACAAUCAGCAAGCUACUUUCAGCUGUCGCCGCAUCACACCUGCAACCAUUACAGCCAUGGAAGAUAAGUUAUCUGGUUCACUUGCACCUCUCUGUAACUAUAGUGGUUCUGUGGAGUGCCUUACUGAUGACCUCAACAUUGCCUUGUCUGUUGCCAUUGAUUCAGUUGCUCCGUACGUAACUAAAAAACGAACAGUGAAAAAACCAGCUCCUUGGUUUAAUGCAGAAACUCGCAUUUUGAAGCGUAAUUGCAGGAUCCUUGAACGCAAAUGGCGCUCGACUAAACUUGAGGUCUUUCAUCUUGCAUGGCAUAAUAGUCUGGUCACCUAUAAGGGUGCGCUGACUAUCGCCAGGAAUGCCUACUUUUCUAGUAUCAUUAAUUUGAAUAGAAAUAAUCCUAAGUUUCUUUUUGACACGGUGAGGAGUCUCACUCAGAAACAGAAUCAGACUGUAGGCUCCUCGAUCUCGGCAGGUGAAUUCAUGGAUUUCUUUGAGAAUAAGAUUCAAUCAAUUAGAGAGGAAAUUGAUGCUUACCGGGCGGCUAAUCCUACACAUCCUGUGGGGCAGGAUGGGGUUCUGCCAAGUAGGAUGGUGAACUCUGACGCAACUCUUUUGGAGUUUAAGGCGAUUUCCUUGGUGGAACUUGAAAGGGUGAUAAAGGCCUCAAAGCCAACAACUUGUAUGUUGGAUCCGCUCCCUUCUAGGGUUCUUAAGGAACUUUUUCCAACGGUGGGGCCUGUUAUCCUCUUGCUUAUGAAUCUUUCUUUUUCAACAGGAAUUGUUCCUUCCAAUUUCAAGGCUGCGGUGUUAAAACCGCUACUCAAAAAGCCUGGCCUAGAUCCUGAAUUAGUCAGGAACUAUCGGCCUAUAUCGAAUCUGCCCUUCUUGUCUAAGGUACAGGAAAGGAUUGUAGCAAAGCAAAUUGUUGAUUAUUUGACGAGGAAUAAUCUCUUCGAACCUUUCCAGUCGGGGUUCAGGAAUUUCCACUCAACUGAAACUGCUAUUACAAGAGUUGUAAAUGACAUCCUUCUUGCUUUGGAUAAAAACACAAGCACAAUGCUUGUGAUGUUGGAUCUGAGCGCUGCGUUUGAUACGAUUGACCAUGGCACUCUUCUUCACCGUCUUGAACACUAUGUUGGUUUCGGGGGUACGGCUCUUGGUUGGCUUGAAUCGUACCUCACAGAUAGAACCCAAUUUGUGCUUCAUGAGGGUGCAGAAUCAAAGCAUUAUAAAUUGCGCUUUGGCGUACCACAAGGGUCGGUUCUUGGUCCAUUGCUUUUUGCAAUUUAUAUGCUUCCCCUCGGUGACGUUAUCCGUGGCUUCGGAAUUAGUUUCCAUUGCUAUGCGGAUGACACCCAGCUCUACAUUCCUGUAGAUUCCGGGGAUUCUGCCCAGAUUCAAAAGGUUGAGUCCUGUUUGGCUGCUGUGAAGGGCUGGAUGUCACAAAACUUCCUACAGCUUAAUACUGGGAAGACAGAGCUUAUGAUUAUCGGCUCGAAGCGGGACCGGGAAAAGUUUGAGGAUGUCUCUCUGUGGUUGGAUGGCUUCGCCAUCCCACAGAGUGCAUCCGUCAGAAAUCUUGGUGUCUUGUUUGACCCUCAACUAUGCUUUGAUCAGCAUAUAAGAAGUAUAACUAGAAUUGCCUUUUUCCAUUUGAGAAACAUUGCAAGAAUCAGAUCAAUGUUAUCUGUAGCGGAUGCAGAGACACUGAUUCAUGCGUUUGUCUCGUCAAGACUGGACUAUUGCAAUGCACUGUUCUCGGGAUUACCGAACUCUACUAUAAAGAGUCUACAGCUGGUACACAAUGCGGCAGCUAGAUUGCUGACCAGAACGAGAAAGUUUGAUCAUAUUACACCUAUUCUCGCCUCUUUACAUUGGCUACCAAUAACUUUCAGAUCAGACUUUAAGGUGCUAUUGCUAACCUAUAAAGCCUUGCAUGGACUAUCUCCAUUGUACCUGAAGGACCUGAUUAUUCCUUAUAGUCCUUCUCGGUCUCUCCGGUCUUCGGGAGCCGGCCUUCUUUCAU